CGGCGGACGGGUGAGUAACACGUGGAUAACCUACCUAUAAGACUGGGAUAACUUCGGGAAACCGGAGCUAAUACCGGAUAAUAUAUUGAACCGCAUGGUUCAAUAGUGAAAGACGGUUUUGCUGUCACUUAUAGAUGGAUCCGCGCCGCAUUAGCUAGUUGGUAAGGUAACGGCUUACCAAGGCAACGAUGCGUAGCCGACCUGAGAGGGUGAUCGGCCACACUGGGACUGAGACACGGUCCAG
This 244-nucleotide ribosomal RNA is filed under the name uncultured Staphylococcus sp. Its description in RNAcentral is "partial 16S ribosomal RNA". It matches the Rfam family "Bacterial small subunit ribosomal RNA", at positions 96 to 334 of the family's 1533-position model. The record is from RNAcentral. Lineage: Bacteria; Bacillati; Bacillota; Bacilli; Caryophanales; Staphylococcaceae.